GUGCGAGGAGAAAGAUGGUGGAAAAUGUGUGUGAACGAAGUGACGGAGGGGAAAAGACAACUACCACAAAAUAGUGCGUGGAAAGCGAGUACACAGUCCGGGUACCCAUCUCACGCUCAUAAAGACUCGGGGAAACUGGGGUUUGUUACGAAAAGGGCAACAACAGAAAAAAAAAUUAAUUAGAAUAGUUAAAAACAGAAAACUUAGAUUUCCGUUAAACAACAUACAUCGAUAAUUAAGUAAUAGGUAUUAAAAGAUUUUUCUGGCGUUCAAAUAAACUGCUGCACCAACAAUACACUGGCAGAGAUAGAUGAGUUCACUUUGUGAACAUUCUUGACCUCCAUGAUGUCACUUGGUUCAUGGAAGGGAAAUAAUCCUGACAUAAAUAAAGUAGGAUAAAGUGAAGUGUGACAGAUGAGAGUUUAACUUUAUCUUGUCCCCAAAGUAACCUGGGUUACAAAAAUAAAAUCCUCCUUAAAUUACCUACCAAUUUUUUUCUCUCUUUUUGUUUACUACGUUAUUUUGUUUAUUUAUCAUCUCUGUUACUCUAGAUAUUAUAUAUAUAUUGUACAAUAUGAUAUGAUAAAUUGUAUAUAGAUAAUUCCUUCGCUUGUCAAAUUGUAUUAUAGAUAGUAAGCGGUGCAAAGAUACACGUAUGCUGCUUAGCAAUACGCACACACAAGUAUAAACAACUCUGCUGACAAACCAUUUUCUACACAAAGACACAUAAGCUUGCGCACGCCCACGCGCAUGCGCACACACUUUGAACCCAACUCGUUUUCUGUACCGUGAAGAAUGUUUCUUCUCUGGCUCUGUUUCGAAAAUAACUCCCUGAGCUCGGCGCUGUAAGCCUGUCAGUCCGACCUCAAGGGUAACGACCAAACAGCUGCUGUAGGUGCUGAGAGCAGCCAUUACAGCCAUUACAGCCAUUACAGCUGACAGACGUAAACCGGUCUUAAGGCUCUUGAGCCCGUUGUGCGGGUCCAGCGCGCUAACGACAAGCCGUAAACCGGAGGAUGGGUCGUAACGCGGGUUACGUUGCCAUCAAACCAGCGAACAAGCGAGUGGCAUUUGCAGUUACCUUGACAACUAGGCUGGGGUGGGGGAGCACGCAUUCAAAGAAUACACGAAGAUGGAGAAGCAGGAUGCCCGAUUGGCUCGUCAACAUCACGACAUACCGUAAGGCGCGAGACUCAAUAUGGCGUCAUCAAUAUUCAAGUCACCAAUGAUAACGUCUAAAGAACGUCUGUACCCAACGUCCACGUGGUGUCAUCAUGACAUUUGCGGCAACAUGUCAGGAAGAAGUUCGACUGUCAGGCUCCAAUGUCCAGCAAGGUAUCAUCAUCUGAGCGGCGCUUUCUCGCUUUUUGUCUGACAUGCAUUCCUGAGUUGAGUAGCACCUGCCUGAGGCAAUGGAUUCCUCUAAACCAGUACAGGUGUUAACAAAUACAAUAACCAAGACUCACUCAUGUCCUUGUGGAAAAGCUCAGAAACCAACACUUUACGAGGCAAAACAUCUCAGGCCUGAAAUUGAAAGAUAAGCAGAGGAUCAAGUAUGCAACCUUUCAGUAGGAUCUUACACAAUAAAGCUGCUUCCGUUGAGUGAGACGUCAGGACGUCGGCCAAGCGUUGAGAGGGUUAACAUGAAAGCGGAAGUGCACGUGUUUCAGUGCAAGCGGCACGUGGUAAAACUCUUUGUGUCUAAUUAUAGACUUAACGGCCAUGUGUACUAUGAAGGAGAGAGAGAGAGAAAAAAAAAAGAAAAGUUUGCCUAAAAGGCGUCCAGGCUUCUUGAUAGUUAUUUUGAAUUUAAAAAACUAAUUCGCUGACUGAAAGCAAUACAAAAUCAGUCAAUCAGUCUCAGUCUCUGGACGUCACUAUACAGCCUCACAGUUACUGAUUCGCCAUAGAACUAAUAUCCACUGUCUGGCCCACUCACUCAUUCAUUCCUCGAAGUGUCUCAGAAGCAACUGACCACCAACUCCACCACAAAAACUGGUAAUAGAAAACACAACUCCGCAAGCUGGCUUUGAUUGGGAGACUGGUCUCCAAGACCUGAUUCUCGGGAAAAGGGGAGGUUUCUGCGAGUCUCGCUCCCCUCCCCCCUUACCGACCGCCUUGUCCAGACGAGGCUUUGCUGCAGACAACCACCUUGUCCCAGUCGAGCUCCCCCGAUCCCCUCCUACCCUGGCCUCUGUUUGACAUUACAACGCAGCCAGUGAAUGGCGAAGGGUUGGUAAGGAUGCCAGCAUACAGUGCCUGCGGGAGUAUAGGAGGAUAGCUUGACCCCGCAGCUAUGCGGCACCACUCAGUGUGCCAGAACACGUCUUUUGCUUCUAGAGACUCUAAAAAUCUUGAAGAUUACCCCGCCAGGUGUUACGAAAAAAAAUGGGUUUUAAAAAACUAUGAUUGCUCCGUGGAGAGUGAGUAUCUUCAAGGAGAUUCUUCUCGUGAUCAGUCUUGUUCUUUAACCUCAAACUCUCCCACACACACACAUUCAUUCCAUCACACCAUGGGCUUCUUGUCUCCAUCGUCCAGUCUGUUGUGCUCUCGGAUAAAGAUGUGGCCACCGAUGUUUGUGGUUUUUCUGGUCAUUAGCUCCGUUCACGAUGGUCGUCGGCACGACAAGUAUUGGGCCCCUACCUUCCAUCCUCGUCCCAUCCUUCCUAAAAGAAUCAGGAACAGAAUAUGCGAGGUGCGAAUAGAGCUUUUGAGACAUGAAUUAAAAACUUGAGAGACAGGCUCCUCUCUCUUACCUCCCCUGGAUAAAAAUCAGAUACCCAUUUCCGUUGGGUAGUGGCGGAGGUAUUUUUCUCGAAACAAUUUUAAGCGA
RNAcentral lists this long non-coding RNA (2833 nucleotides) under Pomacea canaliculata. RNAcentral describes it as "uncharacterized LOC112573142". Lineage: Eukaryota; Metazoa; Mollusca; Gastropoda; Architaenioglossa; Ampullariidae. The record is from RNAcentral.